Molecule: ribosomal RNA, 442 nt
Filed under: uncultured prokaryote
Description: bacterial SSU rRNA
Rfam family: Bacterial small subunit ribosomal RNA
Source: RNAcentral
UAGGGAAUAUUGGGCAAUGGGCGCAAGCCUGACCCAGCCAUGCCGCGUGCAGGAAGACGGCCUUACGGGUUGUAAACUGCUUUUCUUGGGGACGACAAGGUUCUUGCAAGGACGCCUGACGGUACCCAAGGAAUAAGCAUCGGCUAACUCCGUGCCAGCAGCCGCGGUAAUACGGAGGAUGCAAGCGUUGUCCGGAUUUAUUGGGUUUAAAGGGUGCGUAGGCGGGUGAUUAAGUCUGAGUUAAAAGGCUACGGCUCAACCGUAGUAGGGCUUGGUUACUGGUCAUCUUGAGGAUAUUGGAGGUUGAUGGAAUUAGUAGAGUAGCGGUGAAAUGCAUAGAUACUACUAGGAACGCCAAUUGCGAAGGCAGUCAACUACGAUAUUACUGACGCUGAGGCACGAAAGCGUGGGGAGCGAACAGGAUUAGAUACCCGCGUAGUCC